AAACGACUYUCGGCAACGGAUAUYUCGKCUYUBGCAUCGAUGAAGAACGUAGCGAAAUGCGAUACUUGGUGUGAAUUGCAGAAUCCCGUGAACCAUCGAGUCUUUGAACGCAAGUUGCGCCCGAAGCCGUCAGGUUGAGGGCACGUCUSCCUGGGCGUCACA
RNAcentral lists this ribosomal RNA (162 nucleotides) under Halgania aff. integerrima MG-2017. Its description in RNAcentral is "5.8S ribosomal RNA". It matches the Rfam family "5.8S ribosomal RNA". From Rfam's summary of the family: 5.8S ribosomal RNA (5.8S rRNA) is a component of the large subunit of the eukaryotic ribosome. It is transcribed by RNA polymerase I as part of the 45S precursor that also contains 18S and 28S rRNA. Lineage: Eukaryota; Viridiplantae; Streptophyta; Magnoliopsida; Boraginales; Ehretiaceae. The record is from RNAcentral.